RNAcentral lists this small nucleolar RNA (128 nucleotides) under Myotis davidii. Its description in RNAcentral is "Small nucleolar RNA SNORA51". It matches the Rfam family "Small nucleolar RNA SNORA51". From Rfam's summary of the family: ACA51 is a member of the H/ACA class of snoRNA that guide the sites of modification of uridines to pseudouridines. The record is from Rfam by way of RNAcentral. Lineage: Eukaryota; Metazoa; Chordata; Mammalia; Chiroptera; Vespertilionidae.
AGUCUCAAAUCAGUAAUCUAAACAAUCACCUCAAGAAGAAAGAAAAAAUAGGAGGCAGGGUAAACUUACCCAUAUACACCUCAGCUCAGGCUCUUUGCCUGGUCUGUAUUGUGACUGGGGAGACACUG